UCUCUUAGAAGCCUCUUGCAUUUUUUCCGACUCCCUUUUUGAUCCACUAGCCAUGUCAAACUGUGGAGUUGUUUCCAUUAUUUUAGGCUUCUUUUCUUCUGUGGUUUGUGUUGUUUUUCCCUUCUCUCUUUUGAGUGUGGAAGUAUCUUUAGUUUCCUCACUCUUUUCAAUCUUUGACCCUUUUGUUCUCUUCACAACUUUUUCUUCUUCUAGAGUCUUUUGUCUUUGAAAACUAGGCACAUCAAGUACUUCUUCUUGCCCAUCAAGGAUCUGUGGCUGCAAACUAUCAAUUUUUUCAGUCCCCACAAUGUUUAACUUUGGUGAUUCUUUUUCUUCU
This 337-nucleotide long non-coding RNA is filed under the name Medicago truncatula (barrel medic). RNAcentral describes it as "long non-coding RNA (MTRU_LNC004021)". Lineage: Eukaryota; Viridiplantae; Streptophyta; Magnoliopsida; Fabales; Fabaceae. The record is from RNAcentral.